RNAcentral lists this non-coding RNA (69 nucleotides) under unclassified sequences. Its description in RNAcentral is "DUF3800-IX RNA". It matches the Rfam family "DUF3800-IX RNA". Rfam says of the family: Actinobacteria, Firmicutes (1 example), Nitrospirae, Proteobacteria, Verrucomicrobia (1 example). Nearby to DUF3800 The record is from Rfam by way of RNAcentral.
ACCCGCUGAUCCGAACAGUCGCCGUAUGGUGCGCGUGCCUGCAAUCGCAGGCUAGGGCAGCGGGUCGCC